GGCAUUUAAAAAGCAAGUUUGUGGGCCACAAGCUGAGUGUGUCAUGUCACUUUCACCACUGUCUCUUGGGAAGGCUGAGCAUGAGCAGCCCUCACAGGGCUCUCCCCAACUUGGGGAUGUGAAUUCCCAGACAGCAAGGAUCCAUGUGAGGGCAGAUUGGGCAGGAGAUGCCAGCGGUGCCCCUGAAGCCAUUGGCACAGGUAGCAUCAACAGACACAUGGCCAGCCAAAUGAGUGCAAUGGCUGAGGUGAGGCACGUCACAUGAGGACCUCAUAGCCCAAUUCAGACUACUCUUCCCUGUC
Molecule: RNase P RNA, 302 nt
Filed under: Jaculus jaculus (lesser Egyptian jerboa)
Lineage: Eukaryota; Metazoa; Chordata; Mammalia; Rodentia; Dipodidae
Description: Nuclear RNase P (ENSJJAG00000006948.1)
Rfam family: Nuclear RNase P
About the family: Ribonuclease P (RNase P) is a ubiquitous endoribonuclease, found in archaea, bacteria and eukarya as well as chloroplasts and mitochondria. Its best characterised activity is the generation of mature 5'-ends of tRNAs by cleaving the 5'-leader elements of precursor-tRNAs.
Source: Rfam by way of RNAcentral